Molecule: long non-coding RNA, 1142 nt
Filed under: Homo sapiens (human)
Lineage: Eukaryota; Metazoa; Chordata; Mammalia; Primates; Hominidae
Description: HSALNT0198107
Source: RNAcentral
CGCUAAGUAUCUGAGUGUGUCACAGAGCUAGUAAAAGGCAGAGCUGGGAUCAGAUACAUUGAUUCAUUCACUCAAAAACCUUUUUUUAUCGAGUGCAUACUAUGUAUCAGCCUCUGGGUACUGAGCAUGGGAGCAGAAUCAGACACCCCGAACUGACAGGGCUCACAGACGAGAAGGGGAGACAGUUCUCAAUCAUAGAAAUCACUUGUUCUCACAAACGGUGACACGUGCUAUGAAGAAAAAGGCCUGAGAACUAGGAGGGCAUCUAGAGGCGCCCUUUCUGGUCUAGGCGUCCUACAGGCAGCUGGAGGAAGACGUCUGAGCUGACAUCAGAUUCAUGGGUAGGAGUCUACCAGGCCAGGGGGGGUGGACUCCUAGGAGCGGGAUGGCUGGGUGAAGGAUAUGAACUCUGUUAAGGGUUUUGAUGCAUAUUGCCAAACCACUUUCCAAAAAGCCCGUGAUGAUUCCUCCCCGAUCGGCAGCUCACAGGUGCACCUUUCCCCACGCAGGAGGACUUCUCACCUAACUUUACUCAGGCAUCGUCCUUCAGAGAUCCUGUCCACCUCUGGGUCCGCGUCUCUUUGUGAUCAACUCCAGCCUCUUCCCUCCUUCCCAUGAGCUCUGCAUUGCACCUGGGUCCACCUGGACCCCAGCCACGGUCACCGUGGCUGAACUCGAUUCUUUGUCCUCUGUACCCUGUGGAACUUAGUCUGUGUCCCUCCCGCCACGUCGCCUGAUGCUGUAUGUGGGAGCCGUCUUCCUGGUGGACAGUGAGCUCCCUGGGCAGGCACUGAGUGUCCCUAUGGUAUCCCUUGUAGGGUACACCUUGAGGAUACACCUCACCCACUGUAGGUAUCCAAGUAACAUUUGAUCCAGUGAAUAAGUAUGAAUGAAUGAAGGAUAUUGUUAAGUAUGAAUGAACGAAGGAUAUUGUUUUCCCCGUUUCUGGAGAAAAAAAUCCACAAAAGCCUGUUUGUCUUGGUGUUGCUUUUUUUGUACCCUUUAACCCAUUCCACAGAUUAGCAACAACAUGUAUUUCAUUGGUGGUUCUUAAUAAACAUUAAAUUAGGCCAGGUGCAGUGGCUCACACCUGUAUUCCCAGCACUUUGGGAGGCAGAGGAGGGAGGAUCACUUGAGCCCAG